CAUGGUAUAGUAACGUGUUUAUAUUAAUAAUAGUCGGUUUGGUGUUUGAGGUGUCGUACAUGGAGACGUGGAAAGGGAAGGUCCGUCCUCUUCUGUCCCAACACACUUCCUGUCCCUGUGACAGGACGUCCCGAUUUGCUCUGUCUUGACUCGCCUCUUUGUGUUUCAGAGUGUGAGCCUGUCCAGCGCCGCGGAGAAGUCUCUGGAGCUCAGAGGGCCCUAUGACAUCACCAACCUGUAUCCUUCCUAUUGGUUCAGACACAAACUGUAGUCUUCA
Perca fluviatilis (European perch) is the source of this 277-nucleotide long non-coding RNA. RefSeq lists it as uncharacterized. The record is from RefSeq and is a predicted model, not a curated record. Lineage: Eukaryota; Metazoa; Chordata; Actinopteri; Perciformes; Percidae. The transcript is spliced from 2 exons.